RNAcentral lists this ribosomal RNA (261 nucleotides) under uncultured Staphylococcus sp. Its description in RNAcentral is "partial 16S ribosomal RNA". It matches the Rfam family "Bacterial small subunit ribosomal RNA", at positions 100 to 356 of the family's 1533-position model. Lineage: Bacteria; Bacillati; Bacillota; Bacilli; Caryophanales; Staphylococcaceae. The record is from RNAcentral.
CGGGGUGAGUAACACGUGGAUAACCUACCUAUAAGACUGGGAUAACUUCGGGAAACCGGAGCUAAUACCGGAUAAUAUUUUUGAACCGCAUGGUUCAAAAGUGAAAGACGGUCUUGCUGUCACUUAUAGAUGGAUCCGCGCUGCAUUAGCUAGUUGGUAAGGUAACGGCUUACCAAGGCAACGAUGCAUAGCCGACCUGAGAGGGUGAUCGGCCACACUGGAACUGAGACACGGUCCAGACUCCUACGGGAGGCAGCAGCG